Small nuclear RNA from Penaeus chinensis, 159 nucleotides. RefSeq annotates it as U1 spliceosomal RNA. The record is from RefSeq and is a predicted model, not a curated record. Lineage: Eukaryota; Metazoa; Arthropoda; Malacostraca; Decapoda; Penaeidae. The transcript has a single exon.
AAAAAUACAUUCGGAUAUUCUAUUAAUAAGUAAUAUGUCAUUAUUUCAUAUCUUUAUUUUUUGUACUCCGGUGGUGCUGACCACUUAGAUUAACCCAAAUGUGGUUAACUCGAGUGCGCAAUUUUUGGUAGCGGGGGACUGCGUUCGCGCUUUCCCCCU